AUUGAGCGCUGGCGGCAUGCUUUACACAUGCAAGUCGAACGGCAACGAGGCGAUGCUUGCUUCUCUGUCGGCGAGUGGCGAACGGGUGAGUAUAGCAUCGGAACGUGCCAAGUAGUGGGGGAUAACCAAACGAAAGUUUGGCUAAUACCGCGUAUGCUCCAAGGAUGAAGGUAGGGGACCUAAAUAAGGCCUUACGCUAUUUGAUCGGCCUAUGUCGGAUUAGCUAGUUGGUGGGGUAAUGGCUCUCCAAGGCAAUGAUCCGUAGCGGGUCUGAGAGGAAGAACCGCGACACUGGGACUGAGACACGGCACAGACACCUAGGGGAGGCAGAAGCGGGGAAGUUUGGCAAAUGGGGGGAACACUGCACAAGCCACGCCGCGUGUAUGAAGCAGGCCUUAGGGUUGUAUAGUACUUUUGUUAGGGAAGACAGGCUAGAGUAUAAUAAAAACUAGUGAUGACGGUACCUAAAGAAUAAGCACCGGCUAACUACGUG
Molecule: ribosomal RNA, 493 nt
Filed under: uncultured bacterium
Lineage: Bacteria
Description: partial 16S ribosomal RNA
Rfam family: Bacterial small subunit ribosomal RNA
Source: RNAcentral